This is a non-coding RNA of Malus domestica (apple), 5570 nucleotides long. Lineage: Eukaryota; Viridiplantae; Streptophyta; Magnoliopsida; Rosales; Rosaceae. The record is from RefSeq and is a predicted model, not a curated record.
AAGUAUGCGGAUUCCUUUCACACCGAAAUUUCCUGAAGAAAAUUCCCUUUUGCAUUGACUCAGUGACUAAUUUCCGGUGAUCAAAUUUGUAGAUCUAUUGAGUAUUUCUGUACUUACAAUUCUCUAGUCUUAGCGGCUCGAUCAUCGCUGACCAGGUGCGAUCGAUUAAUAAUGGCUGCUUCUUCUUCUUCAUCUUCUUCUGGCCUUGGUUGCAAAUACGAUGUGUUCAUCAAUUUCAGAGGGGAAGACACUCGCAGGGGCUUCGUCAGCCAUCUCUACAACGCUCUGGCUAAGAAACCAAUCAACGCCUUCAUUGAUGCCGAAAAGCUCAGAAAAGGCGACCACCUUUCCGAGCUCCUGACAGCGAUUCGAGAGUCAAGGCUUUCGAUUGUAGUUUUCUCUCAAAACUAUGCUUCUUCCACUUGGUGCUUGAAAGAACUCGUGCAAAUCCUGGAAUGCAAGGAUACCAAUAACCGGAUUGUACUCCCCAUUUUCUAUGAAGUUGAUCCGUCUGACGUUCGUAAACUCAAGAGAAAAUUCGAGGAAGCUUUUGCUCAGCACUAUCGUGAUUCUAACGCUGAAAUGGAAGAGGUUCAGAGCUGGAGAUCCGCUCUUACAACUGCCACCAGUUUAUCCGGCUGGGAUUCGCGAAACUAUGAGAAUGAUGUGGUGCUUAUUGAGGAAAUUGUAGAAGAUGUUUAUAGGAAAUUGAUCGACAUCUCAUCAACAUCAAGCAAAGAUAAUGGCUUGGUUGACAUGGAUUCUCACAUGCAUGAAAUGCAUCUAUUAUUAUAUCCUCCCGGAGGUGAAACGAAUACUGUUCGCAUUGUUGGAAUAUGGGGUAUGGGUGGUUUAGGCAAAACAACCAUCGCUAGAGCUGUUCAUGAUAAAAUCGCUAGUCGAUUUGAAGCUUGUUGCUUUCUUGAAAAUUUCAAGGAAGGUUUCAUGAAGCAUGGCAAACUACAUAUGCAGGCACAACUUCUAUUGAGUAUCUCGAACAACAAGGUGGGGAGUUCUGACAUAUCGAGUAAAGGUUUUCAGGUGAUGUUAGAAAGCCUUGGUCAGAGAAAAGUUCUUAUUGUUGUUGAUGAUGUGGACGAAUUAGAACAAAUUGAAGCUUUACUUGAAGAGCCACAUUCCUUUGGUGGUGGAAGCAGAAUUAUUAUAACAACUAGAGAUUCGCAAUUACUAAGCAUAGCUGAUGUGAUAUAUAAUCCCAAGAUUUUGAGUGAUUCUGGAGCUCUGAAACUCUUUAGGCGGCACGCCUUCAGAAAAAACCAACCCACCAGAGAUUAUGAUGAUCUCUCGAAUCAUGUCGUAGAAUAUGCUCAAGGCCUGCCUUUAGCACUCAAAGUCUUGGGAGCUUUUCUUGGUAACAAAACUAUACGCGAGUGGGAAGAUGAGUUAGAAAAAAUAAGGAAAAUCCCGCGAAGGGGAAUUCAUGAUGUGCUUAAAUCAAGCUUCGAUGGACUAGAUGACAAGGAGAAGGACAUCUUUCUAGACAUUGCAUGUUUCUUUAAAGGGAUGGAGAAAGACUGUGCAGCCCGAAUUCUGGAAGAUUGUGGUUUCCAUCCUUAUACUGGAAUAAGAGUUCUAAUCGAUCGAGCACUCAUAACUGUCUCAGGGGAGGGGGAACUGGAGAUGCAUGAUUCAUUAGCGGAAAUGGGUCGGGAAAUCGUCCGCCAAGAAUGUAUCAAAGAGCCUGGGAGACGAAGUAGGUUGUGGAGUUAUGAAGAUGUUCAUCACGUGCUAUCUCAAAAUACGGCUACAAAAACAGUUGAAAGCAUAAUUGUGGAUUUCUCGUACUCAGGCUGGCCAUGCUUAAAUGCUGAAGCUUUUGUUAGAAUGACUCAACUAAGACUUCUCAAGAUCAGUCAUAGGCACUUAAAUGCUGAAUCUGUUGUUAGAAGGAUUCAACGAAGACUUCUCACGAUCGGUCUUCAUGGGAACUUAAAUGCUCAACGAAGACUUCUCGAGAUCAGUUAUAGGCACUUCGUUUUUAAAGAUGAGUACUGCAAACAACACCUGUUUGGGUCCUUAAAGUUGCUUAACCUGAGGUAUCUCUCCUGGCUUGGUUUCCCUCUCAAGUCUUUGCCAUCCAACUUUCAAUUCGAAAAUCUUGUUGAACUUGACAUGCAAUGUAGUCUCAUUGACCGACUUUGGGAAGGAACCCAGACGCAGGAAAAGUUGAAAUUCAUCAAUUUAAGUUAUUGUCAAUCCCUUAAGGAAACCCCUGACUUCACAAAUGUGCCAAAUCUUGAGAGGCUAAUUGUUCGAAGUUGUAUAAGCUUAGUUGAGGUUCACCCGUCUAUUUCGACUCUUACAAACCUUGUUUUAUUGGAUCUGCAUGGGUGCAAUGAACUUAAGAUUCUACCUAGCAAAAUUUGUAUGAGAUCUCUCAAAACCUUGAAUCUUUCUGACUGCUCCAGUCUUGAGAUGUUUCCAGAGAUUUCAGAAGGUAUGGAGGAGUUAGAAGAGCUUAAUUUAUCCGGGUCAAAAAUUAAAGAAUUGCCCCUGUCAAUUAAUAAUCUCUCGGGGUUGAGUCAUUUCAACCUAAAAGAUUGCAAGGAACUUAAGAUUCUACCUAGCAAAAUUUGUAUGAGAUCUCUCAAAACCUUUAAUCUUUGUGACUGCUCCAGUCUUGAGAUGUUUCCAGAGAUUUCAGAAGGUAUGGAGGGGUUAGAAGAGCUUAAUUUAUCUGGGUCAAAAAUUAAAGAACUGCCCCUGUCAAUUAAUAAUCUCUCGGGGUUGAGUCAUUUCAACCUAAAAGAUUGCAAGGAACUUAAGAUUCUACCUAGCAAAAUUCGUAUGAGAUCUCUCAAAACCUUUAAUCUUUCUGACUGCACCAGUCUUGAGAUGUUUCCAGAGAUUUCAGAAGGUAUGGAGGAGUUAGAAGAGCUUAAUUUAUCCGGGUCAAAAAUUAAAGAACUGUCCCUGUCAAUUAAUAAUCUCACGGGGUUGAGUCAUUUCAACCUAAAAGAUUGCAAGGAACUUAAGAGUCUUCCAAGCUGCAUUCAUAUGAAAUGUCUGAAAACCUUUAAUCUUUAUGGCUGCUUCAGUCUUGAGAUGUUUCCAUCGAUUUCAGAAGGUAUUGAGGGGUUAGAAAAGCUUGAUUUACCCUGCUCAAAAAUUAAAGAACUGUCCUCGUCAAUUAAUAAUCUUACGAGGUUGUGUCAUUUGAAUCUACAUAAUUGCACGGAACUUAAGAGUCUUCCAAGCAGCAUUCGUAUGAAAUCUCUCAAAACCUUUAAUCUUUCUGGCUGCUCUAGUCUUGAGAUGUUUCCAAAGAUUUCAGAAGGUAUGGAGGAGUUAGAAGAGCUUAAUUUAUCCGGGUCAAAAAUUAAAGAACUGCCCUCGUCAAUUAAUAAUCUUACGGGAUUGAAUCAUUUGAAUCUAAAAGAUUGCAAAGAACUUAAGAGUCUUCCAAGCAGCAUUUGUCAGCUCAAGUCCCUUUUCUCUCUCUCUCUUUCCGGUUGUACAAAAUUUGAGUUGUUUCCAAGCAUUGAAGAAAAUAUGGAAGGAUUAAGAAGUCUUUUCCUGGAUGGAACAUCUAUUAAAGAGCUUUCCCCCUGGAUUGAACGCCUUACGGAGCUUCGGUAUUUAUAUUUGAGAGACUGCAAAAGCCUUGUACAUCGUCCCAACACGCUCUGUAAUUUGUAUUUUCAUAGCCCUCUCGAGGACGCAUAUCGCCGUCUUGGCUGACUCCCUUUCCACCGCAACCCCCCAAUUUAUAGGGGUUUUGGGUACUCUCUGCUGAUAAACACAUGGAUACGAAGCUCUGAUUUGAAGCAAUCAAUCGGACACUACACCGCGUUGCGGCGGCUUUGGUGGAAUUGGCGUGGUCAGACGGCUAGCCACGGCCGCAUAUUUUGAAAUCCCAAGAGGUGGCAUUUUCCAAGGAGAGGUACAUAACUCCACCUCCGGAUUCUUUUGAUUUGUGCUUGUGCAGAAACUGUGAAGAUAUUGGUAUGUCAAUUCCCGUUGCUAACUUGCUAAUGCCACCGGUGCUCCUCCAAUUUGGUGAAAGGGAAGAUGUAUGAGAUUGGAUCGUGUGGAAUUAGCAGCCUAAAAGGGCACAUCAAGAGGAGGAAUAAAUAAGAGCCUCAAUGAGUUCAUCUCCCUCUUUGGAAGAAUGUCCCUUGUACCAACUAAUGCUAAAGCUGUAGACGCUAGAAUUGAAUGGUUCUAGUAGUUUCAGGUUACAUUUAUAUAUUUCUAGCAUCUGUAUAUGUGCUGUUUGGGGGACGUUAUCGCCAGGGCCGACCCUGGUCCAGUGCAAACAGUACACCUGUCCAGAGCCGAAAUUGUUUUGGGGGCACUUCUUCCUUCACGAAUCGGGACAGCGGUGUCCUGAGCCUUUCUUCCAGACCAGUGCCCUUCCGUCCCAGCUUUCCUUAUCAGCCUCUUGACCUCCGAAAUCGCUGCAGAAAUCGCCCAAAACUCGACUGAAUUUUACAGAAUCGGUUGCCGUCGUCACCGCUGCAGUCCCUCUGUGCGCAGCUCAUUGAGCUUUCUGGGUACUCUUGCUCCGAGCACACAAUUCAGACGAAAGAUGGGUACUUACUGGGUUUGAGAUGUGAAGGACUAAUAGAAGUCGUGUUUGUUACUGCAAUUUCUACUUGGUUUGAGAUGUGAAGGACUAAAAAGAUUGUUAUGGUGGGGAGUGUUCCCCGUAAAUGAUCUGUGAGUAAAAUAUUGAUUCUGUGGACGCCUGAUUAGUGAAAAGCCAUACUUUCAUAGCUCCUUCCAAUUUUUUCAACAUAUUGGUCCUACCAAGAGGUUAUUUCAAAUUUUGAAUGUAUAGCUCACUAUUUGGUGCCUCAACGAUUUCAUCUCCCUCUUUGGAAGAAUGCCCCUUGUACCAACUAAUGCUAAAGCUGUAGACGCUAGAAUUGAAUAGUUCCGGUAGAUUUUUCUAGCAUCUGUAUAUAUACUGUUUGGAGAAGGACGUUAUCGCGAUUCAGGGCCGGCCCUGGCUCAGUGCAAACAGUGCACCUGUCCAGGGCCGAAAUUGUUUUGGGGCACUUCUUCCUUCGUGAAUUGCGAUAGCGGCGACCAAAGCCUUUCUUCCAGACCAGUGCCCUUUGGUCGCGGCUUUCCUUAUCAGCCUCUUGACCUCCGAAAUCGCUGCAGAAAUUUCCCAAAACUCGACUAAAUUUUACAGAAUUGGUCACUGUCGUUCACCACUGCAGUCCUCUGUGCGGUCGCUGUCGUUCACCACUGCAGUCCUCUGUGCGCAGCUCAUUGAGCUUUCUGGGUACUCUUGCUCCGAGCACACAGUGAAUUCAGACGAAAGAUGGGUACUUCCUGGAUUUGAGAUGUGAAGGACUAAUAGGAGUCAUGUUUGUUAGUGCAACUUCUGUACGGUUGAGAUGUGAAGGACUAAUGAGAUUGCUCUGGUGGGGAGUGUUCCCCGUAACUGAUACGCGGGUAAAAUAUGGAUUCUCUGGACGCCUGAUUAGUGAAAAGUCUUACUUUCAUAGCUCCUUCCUAUUUUUUCAACAUACUGGUCCUACUAAGUUGAUUAUUUCAAAUUUUGAAUGUAUAGCUCACUAUUUGGUGCCCCCUGA